Molecule: ribosomal RNA, 468 nt
Filed under: uncultured bacterium
Lineage: Bacteria
Description: partial 16S ribosomal RNA
Rfam family: Bacterial small subunit ribosomal RNA
Source: RNAcentral
GACGAACGCUGGCGGCGUGCUUAACACAUGCAAGUCGAACGGAAAGGCCCUGCUUUUGUGGGGUGCUCGAGUGGCGAACGGGUGAGUAACACGUGAGUAACCUGCCCUUGACUUUGGGAUAACUUCAGGAAACUGGGGCUAAUACCGGAUAGGAGCUCCUGCUGCAUGGUGGGGGUUGGAAAGUUUCGGCGGUUGGGGAUGGACUCGCGGCUUAUCAGCUUGUUGGUGGGGUAGUGGCUUACCAAGGCUUUGACGGGUAGCCGGCCUGAGAGGGUGACCGGCCACAUUGGGACUGAGAUAGGGCCCAGACUCCUACGGGAGGCAGCAGUGGGGAAUAUUGCACAAUGGGGGGGAGCCUGAUGCAGCGACGCCGCGUGCGGGAUGACGGCCUUCGGGUUGUAAACCGCUUUCGCCUGUGACGAAGCGUGAGUGACGGUAAUGGGUAAAGAAGCACCGGCUAACUACGUG